This 330-nucleotide unclassified non-coding RNA is filed under the name soil metagenome. RNAcentral's name for it is "partial contains 5.8S ribosomal RNA, internal transcribed spacer 2, and large subunit ribosomal RNA". The stretch from base 1 to 120 matches the Rfam family "5.8S ribosomal RNA", at positions 35 to 154 of the family's 154-position model. The record is from RNAcentral.
GAUGAAGAACGUAGCGAAAUGCGAUAAGUAAUGUGAAUUGCAGAAUUCAGUGAAUCAUCGAAUCUUUGAACGCACAUUGCGCCCCUUGGUAUUCCGAGGGGCAUGCCUGUUCGAGCGUCAUUAUAACCCCUCAAGCUCAGCUUGGUGUUGGGGCCUGCUGCACUGGCAGCCCUUAAAAUCAGUGGCGGCGCCAUCUGGCUCUAAGCGUAGUAAUUCUUCUCGCUAUGGAGUCCUGGUGGAUGCUUGCCAUCAACCCCCAAUUUUUCUAUGGUUGACCUCGGAUCAGGUAGGGAUACCCGCUGAACUUAAGCAUAUCAAUAAGCGGAGGAA